UACGUAGGGUGCAAGCGUUGUCCGGAAUUAUUGGGCGUAAAGAGCUCGUAGGCGGUCUGUCGCGUCGGCUGUGAAAACCCGGAGCUCAACUCCGGGCCUGCAGUCGAUACGGGCAGACUGGCGUUCGGCAGGGGAGACUGGAAUUCCUGGUGUAGCGGUGAAAUGCGCAGAUAUCAGGAGGAACACCGGUGGCGAAGGCGGGUCUCUGGGCCGAUACUGACGCUGAGGAGCGAAAGCGUGGGGAGCGAACAGG
This 253-nucleotide ribosomal RNA is filed under the name uncultured bacterium. RNAcentral describes it as "partial 16S ribosomal RNA". It matches the Rfam family "Bacterial small subunit ribosomal RNA", at positions 524 to 776 of the family's 1533-position model. The record is from RNAcentral.